CCAUGCAUUUAAACCUUAUAUUAGUAUAAGCAUUUCAGACUCUCAAAUAAUAAAGGUGGAAAAAUGGUUAAACCAAGAUGAUUAAACAAACUUAAACAUAAAACAAAAAAAAAGAAGGCAAACUUCAUCUCAGACACCAUAGAAAAACCAUUGGGAAACAAGGGUUUUUCACUUAUUGACCUAAUGCUAAGUGGUACUGCUAGUGUGGGAACACGAUCACUCUUCAUCAAGAAGCAAGAAUAAGUUAUCGACCUUCAACAUCCAAUUUAUAGUAUGGAGAAUCAUCCAGUUUCUGGCAAGCGCCAUCUACUCCACACACUUGAAUAAUGAACUUGACACUAGAAGUGCUUGAGGGAAUGGAAAGAUUAUCAACAUAAAAAGCUUCAACAUAUGCUACUCCAAUAUACUCCUGAGUCCCUUCAACUCUUCCACCUGAAUUUCCAGCAGCUGUUUUCACUAGCUUCUCAACAUAAAUAUUGUACUUGGAAGAUUGAAAAUUACUUCCAUCCUCCAACUUCCAAGUGAUUUUAACACUCAGGUUGUUGGAACCCUGAGAACCUGGACUCCACUUAAUAUACUGACCCUCAACUAGCCAUGAACUGGAUGCAGGAAAAACUGGAUUAUCUUUAAAAGUCUUGACUGUGAUAUGACCAAGCGCUGCAAAAUACUCUGAUGGAUUCUGAGCUAAUGUAACGUUAUGUCCAUCUGAUUUGUUUUCUAAUCUUAGCCUGCCAAUUUCAGGCUUUGGCUUGUAACAUACAGCAUGGAUUUCUGUCAAUAUGUAUCCAUUCAUUUCAAUGCUACUCUCUUGUAUGACCCAUCCUGGAGCCAAUUCUUGCUUGUUAACCCUAUUUGGUACAAUCACUUGGCUGAACUUGUUUGAUAAUUGAUUAGUUUCCCAAGGUGCAAUAAGAACUGAUAUUCUUUCAUUCAGGGUGGAAGAGAACUGAAGAGAUAGGCCAAGCAUAGAACCUCCAUCUGAUUUUACCUGCAUUACAGUUGAUUGAAGACUUUACAGGUAAGCGAAAUUGAUUCACAGCUUCUAAGAAAAAGAGUAGAAGACUACUGAUGAGCUUUGACCUAAUGAUACUAGAGUUAUCUUCAGGGCAGCGAUGUUUCGAUUUUAAGCCCCAUUCAAAGCCUAAUCAAACAAAAAACAAAACAAAGGGGAGAAAAAAAGAGUAGAAGGCAUGAAGCAAGGAGAGACAGCUUACAGAAUAUGUUAUGUGGAGAGGCAAUUCACCUAGAAGCAAUUUUCCCUGAAAUAGUCUUGCUGUCAAGUCAUUGUUGUCUUUCAGAGUUCCUUUAAAUGUGAUGUUUACUCCUCCUCCAUAAGAUGCUUCCUUAAAACUACCAUUUGCAGAUAUAUCAUAAAUGUUUAAUUCAGAUAACUGUAUUCCAAUAGUUAUAAAACUAUAAUAUCAAGGUCUAUCAAGCUGUUUACUGGAAAUGGUUUUGUAUAGAAUGCCAUAUUUCAACUGAACAGAAGAUACAUAUCACUAUUACACGUACUUGACAAGAACUUGAAUGGAAUCUGUAGUUGGAUUGUCUUUAUAUUCAAGAAAAGGCUGAAAGCCUUGGGAAGAUAUAUUAUUCCAAGGAGCACUUGAGACUUGCCCUCCUUCAACAGAAAUAUGAUAUCCAUGGCCCUGAUCAAAGUUUGAGUAGAAGGGUAAUGAAUUAGGAUAAGAUUUUACUACUCCCCAUGAUUUUUCGACUAGGCCCCACCACCGAUUUUGAGCAGUCCGAAAAUCAGGCGCUUCUUUAGUCUCGUAGAGCCACCCAGGAGCAAAGAUGGCUGCGGACAUAUUAUCAUUCUUUAGCACCUCAAGUGCCACAUUUGUAUUCCAUUGUCCACCGCCAUAAGUAUUCCUUCCAAAUACAUCUAUUCCCAUGUAGACAUCAAACUUUCUAUCACCAGCAACAGCAGCUGAAAGUUCUGGAUUGUUUCUCUUCCAUGUGUAGUUUACAAAUAUGCCAUCACAUAAAUCAAAGAAAGGUUUAUUUUUUUGACUUAGUUGGUCUUGCCACUCAAGCUUUCCAUCUAUUGUAAUAGCAUCAUACCAAAUUACUAAAGAUCCAGGCAAUGAGCUAUGCAUAGUCUGGGUUAGAUGACUGACAAAUUCCUUCAGAUUAGAAAUUUGCUCUACUUCCAAAUUAAUCUCCAUAUUUAUCUGCAAAAUGGUGAUUACUAGAAGCAUGUGUAAUAGAUAUUAUACUCCCAUAAAACACAGAAAUAGAAAGAAAGACACAUCUCAUAUCUCUUCCACUUUUCCUCAGGAAAAGCUUGCAAGAUGCUGCCAACCAUAAAGCUUUACUUAUUCUAUCAUUUCUUCUAUUCCAUUAUCAGUGUCGAAAUUCAAAGCAAGUGAAACAUUAAUAUUGUCUAAGAAGGAAAAUUACAGUACUCAGAACUAAUCACCAUUAUUGCUUUCUAAAAAGAAAAUUUUGUUUUAAAUAAAUCUUCUUCUUCUUCUUACUCUUCAUCUUCCUUUCUUAUUAUUAUCUUAACCGUGUAGUUGCUAGGCAUAAAGCAUAAUGCCACAAAGCAUACACGCAGACAAAACCCAUUUAGCUUGGACUAGGCUUAACUGAGGGUUUUCUUAAUCUGUUACUUUCAUCUCUAUUUCCUCGAGUGUUUCAAGUUUGAUUAUGGCAAAUUCAACAACAAAUACCCUAAAGAGUGCAGAGUCCAUUGAAUAUUUGUGCACUACAUGCGCAUGAUUGUGAAAAUUAUCUAUGAAAGGAAUUACUACUGUCCUAGAAAUGAGACUCUUGUCAAGAUAAGUCAUUCAAAAUGAAAUGUCCAAAAAACUUAUUGAAGUACUGAUCAAAUCUAAACUCAGACUGGAAGUAUCAAGACUUAAGAUCAGAAAACUACAUACCAGCCAUCCAUCAAAGCCCAAAGCAACAGCAAGCUCAGCCAAACGCUCAGCAUACAUUCGAGCAGACUCCUCUGUUUCAAGCAAUUUAUCACAAAUACGCCUCCCGUCAUCCCACUCUGUAAUGAAAGUCCCCAACACCUUAACACCGUGUCUAUGAGCUGUAUUGGUCCAGCAUGGAGGAGGCAAGGUAACCAAAUAAUGGGAGAAGUAAACAAAAACAUCAAUCAAAUACCAAUGCCAAAUUGCAUAAGCACUCUCAUUAUUCCCUCCCUGGACCCACUUAUCAUCCACAUAACCUCCUUGCAUAUCAUGGCACACAAGAAUUCUAGGCCUGUUAUCUAAAACAGAGCUUUUAAGAGGAACGGAGGACUUGUUAAAAGGGUAGUGAAAGGAAUUGAAGUAAGCUUGAGACUCGAGUUCUUGGAGGGUUUUCAAAGGGUAGGAGAUGGGAAUAGAGGGCUGUAAUGGAUCAAAUGGAGGAGGGUCAAGUGUGGAUAGAGCUUCAUUUCUUGGAAACAUGAUAAGGAGACAAGUAGGUUAUGGGAAGAGCAAAUUACAAAGGUAGAGAGACCAAAAGCAUGUGAUCUAUAUAUAAGGAGAGAAGUGGCUGUUAACAUUGACAAUGGAAGAUGCGACGAAGGUGAACAGCUAUU
RNAcentral lists this unclassified non-coding RNA (3538 nucleotides) under Hevea brasiliensis (rubber tree). The record is from RNAcentral. Lineage: Eukaryota; Viridiplantae; Streptophyta; Magnoliopsida; Malpighiales; Euphorbiaceae.